UACAGAGGUCCCAAGCGUUGUUCGGAUUCACUGGGCGUAAAGGGUGCGUAGGCGGUCGGGUAAGUCUGAUGUGAAAUCUCACAGCUUAACUGUGAAACUGCAUUGGAUACUAUUCGGCUUGAGAGUUGGAGGGGGGACUGGAAUUCUUGGUGUAGCAGUGAAAUGCGUAGAUAUCAAGAGGAACACCAGUGGCGAAGGCGAGUCCCUGGACAACUUCUGACGCUGAGGCGCGAAAGCUAGGGGAGCAAACAGG
This 253-nucleotide ribosomal RNA is filed under the name uncultured bacterium. RNAcentral's name for it is "partial 16S ribosomal RNA". It matches the Rfam family "Bacterial small subunit ribosomal RNA", at positions 524 to 776 of the family's 1533-position model. The record is from RNAcentral.